AGCAUCUAUACGGUUGAAACUGCGAAUGGCUCAUUAAAUCAGUUAUCGUUUAUUUGAUAGUACCUCACUACUUGGAUAACCGUGGUAAUUCUAGAGCUAAUACAUGCUAAAAACCUCGACUUCGGAAGGGGUGUAUUUAUUAGAUAAAAAACCAAUGCCCUUCGGGGCUCCUUGGUGAUUCAUAAUAACUUAACGAAUCGCAUGGCCUUGCGCCGGCGAUGGUUCAUUCAAAUUUCUGCCCUAUCAACUUUCGAUGGUAGGAUAGUGGCCUACCAUGGUGGCAACGGGUAACGGGGAAUUAGGGUUCUAUUCCGGAGAGGGAGCCUGAGAAACGGCUACCACAUCCAAGGAAGGCAGCAGGCGCGCAAAUUACCCAAUACCGACACGGUGAGGUAGUGACAAUAAAUACUGAUACAGGGCUCUUUUGGGUCUUGUAAUUGGAAUGAGUACAAUUUAAAUCCCUUAACGAGGAACAAUUGGAGGGCAAGUCUGGUGGACCAGCUGGCGCCAGACCACACAUAGGUGGGCCACCUCGGUGAGGUGGCUCGCCAGGCAUCCGGUACGGGGAAGAGCCUCAGGGCUUCAUCCCGUGGCGAGGGGCAACUCUCGCUGUAACGCAUGGCAGGAUGCCGGUGACCCCCCGGGGCCACUUGAGGGACAUGCUAUUCGGAUCCGCCAAGGGAUCUUAGGGGUCCUUCCAGCCGGAAGGACCCCCCGUAAUGCAGGCCAGCAGCCGCGGUAAUUCCAGCUCCAAUAGCGUAUAUUAAAGUUGUUGCAGUUAAAAAGCUCGUAGUUGAACCUUGGGCUUGGCUGUCCGGUCCGCCUCACCGCGUGCACUGGUUCGGCCGAGCCUUUCCUUCUGGGGAGCCGCAUGCCCUUCACUGGGUGUGUCGGGGAACCAGGACUUUUACUUUGAAAAAAUUAGAGUGUUCAAAGCAGGCCUAUGCUCGAAUACAUUAGCAUGGAAUAAUAGAAUAGGACGUUGKGGUUCUAUUUUGUUGGUUUCUAGGACCSC
Molecule: ribosomal RNA, 1015 nt
Filed under: Xylographa septentrionalis
Lineage: Eukaryota; Fungi; Ascomycota; Lecanoromycetes; Baeomycetales; Xylographaceae
Description: bacterial SSU rRNA
Rfam family: Eukaryotic small subunit ribosomal RNA
Source: RNAcentral